UUCAUGGAGAGUUUGAUCCUGGCUCAGGACGAACGCUGGCGGCGUGCCUAAUACAUGCAAGUCGAGCGGACAGAUGGGAGCUUGCUCCCUGAUGUUAGCGGCGGACGGGUGAGUAACACGUGGGUAACCUGCCUGUAAGACUGGGAUAACUCCGGGAAACCGGGGCUAAUACCGGAUGCUUGAUUGAACCGCAUGGUUCAAUUAUAAAAGGUGGCUUUUAGCUACCACUUACAGAUGGACCCGCGGCGCAUUAGCUAGUUGGUGAGGUAACGGCUCACCAAGGCAACGAUGCGUAGCCGACC
This 302-nucleotide ribosomal RNA is filed under the name Bacillus sp. LB7. RNAcentral describes it as "partial 16S ribosomal RNA". It matches the Rfam family "Bacterial small subunit ribosomal RNA", at positions 1 to 292 of the family's 1533-position model. Lineage: Bacteria; Bacillati; Bacillota; Bacilli; Caryophanales; Bacillaceae. The record is from RNAcentral.